UACGGGGGGGGCAAGCGUUGUUCGGAAUUACUGGGCGUAAAGGGCUCGUAGGCGGCCAACUAAGUCAGACGUGAAAUCCCUCGGCUUAACCGGGGAACUGCGUCUGAUACUGGAUGGCUUGAGUUUGGGAGAGGGAUGCGGAAUUCCAGGUGUAGCGGUGAAAUGCGUAGAUAUCUGGAGGAACACCGGUGGCGAAGGCGGGUCUCUGGGCCGAAACUGACGCUGAGGAGCGAAAGCGUGGGGAGCAAACAGG
RNAcentral lists this ribosomal RNA (253 nucleotides) under uncultured bacterium. Its description in RNAcentral is "partial 16S ribosomal RNA". It matches the Rfam family "Bacterial small subunit ribosomal RNA", at positions 524 to 776 of the family's 1533-position model. The record is from RNAcentral.